RNAcentral lists this ribosomal RNA (240 nucleotides) under uncultured bacterium. RNAcentral's name for it is "partial 16S ribosomal RNA". It matches the Rfam family "Bacterial small subunit ribosomal RNA", at positions 115 to 353 of the family's 1533-position model. The record is from RNAcentral.
ACGUAUCCAACCUGCCGUCUACUCUUGGACAGCCUUCUGAAAGGAAGAUUAAUACAAGAUGGCAUCAUGAGUCCGCAUGUUCACAUGAUUAAAGGUAUUCCGGUAGACGAUGGGGAUGCGUUCCAUUAGAUAGUAGGCGGGGUAACGGCCCACCUAGUCUUCGAUGGAUAGGGGUUCUGAGAGGAAGGUCCCCCACAUUGGAACUGAGACACGGUCCAAACUCCUACGGGAGGCAGCAUG